AUUGAACGCUGGCGGAAUGCUUUACACAUGCAAGUCGAACGGCAGCACGGGAGCUUGCUCCUGGUGGCGAGUGGCGAACGGGUGAGUAAUGCGUCGGAACGUACCGAGUAAUGGGGGAUAACGCAGCGAAAGCUGUGCUAAUACCGCAUACGCCCUGAGGGGGAAAGUGGGGGAUCGUAAGACCUCACGUUAUUCGAGCGGCCGACGUCUGAUUAGCUAGUUGGUGGGGUAAAGGCCUACCAAGGCGACGAUCAGUAGCGGGUCUGAGAGGAUGAUCCGUCACACUGGAACUGAGACACGGUCCAGACACCUACGGGUGGCUG
Molecule: ribosomal RNA, 323 nt
Filed under: uncultured Pseudomonadota bacterium
Lineage: Bacteria; Pseudomonadati; Pseudomonadota
Description: bacterial SSU rRNA
Rfam family: Bacterial small subunit ribosomal RNA
Source: RNAcentral